Molecule: ribosomal RNA, 253 nt
Filed under: uncultured bacterium
Lineage: Bacteria
Description: partial 16S ribosomal RNA
Rfam family: Bacterial small subunit ribosomal RNA
Source: RNAcentral
UACGGAGGGUGCAAGCGUUAUCCGGAAUCAUUGGGUUUAAAGGGUCCGCAGGCGGACUUUCAAGUCAGUGGUGAAAUCUCACAGCUUAACUGUGAAACUGCCAUUGAAACUGUUAGUCUUGAAUUCGGUCGAAGUGGGCGGAAUAUGUCAUGUAGCGGUGAAAUGCUUAGAUAUGACAUAGAACACCGAUAGCGAAGGCAGCUCACUAGGCCUGGAUUGACGCUCAGGGACGAAAGCGUGGGGAGCGAACAGG